This 464-nucleotide ribosomal RNA is filed under the name uncultured Geobacteraceae bacterium. Its description in RNAcentral is "partial 16S ribosomal RNA". It matches the Rfam family "Bacterial small subunit ribosomal RNA", at positions 338 to 794 of the family's 1533-position model. Lineage: Bacteria; Pseudomonadati; Thermodesulfobacteriota; Desulfuromonadia; Geobacterales; Geobacteraceae. The record is from RNAcentral.
CCUACGGGAGGCAGCAGUGGGGAAUUUUGCGCAAUGGGGGCAACCCUGACGCAGCAACGCCGCGUGAGUGAUGAAGGCCUUCGGGUCGUAAAGCUCUGUCAGAGGGGAAGAAAUGCAGGUGGUGAACAACCAUUCUGUUUGACGGUACCCUCAAAGGAAGCACCGGCUAACUCCGUGCCAGCAGCCGCGGUAAUACGGAGGGUGCGAGCGUUGUUCGGAAUUAUUGGGCGUAAAGCGCGUGUAGGCGGUUUUUUAAGUCUGAUGUAAAAGCCCCGGGCUCAACCUGGGAAGUGCAUUGGAUACUGGCAGACUUGAGUACGGGAGAGGAGAGUGGAAUUCCCAGUGUAGGAGUAAAAUCCGUAGAUAUUGGGAGGAACACCGGUGGCGAAGGCAGCCCCCGGGGUUGACACUGACGCUCAUGCACGAAAGCGUGGGGAGCAAACAGGAUUAGAUCCCCCGGUAGU